UGCAGUCGAACGAGUUCUCGUUGAUGAUCGGUGCUUGCACCGAGAUUCAACAUGGAACGAGUGGCGGACGGGUGAGUAACACGUGGGUAACCUGCCCUUAAGUGGGGGAUAACAUUUGGAAACAGAUGCUAAUACCGCAUAGAUCCAAGAACCGCAUGGUUCUUGGCUGAAAGAUGGCGUAAGCUAUCGCUUUUGGAUGGACCCGCGGCGUAUUAGCUAGUUGGUGAGGUAAUGGCUCACCAAGGCGAUGAUACGUAGCCGAACUGAGAGGUUGAUCGGCCACAUUGGGACUGAGACACGGCCCAAACUCCUACGGGAGGCAGCAGUAGGGAAUCUUCCACAAUGGACGCAAGUCUGAUGGAGCAACGCCGCGUGAGUGAAGAAGGCUUUCGGGUCGUAAAACUCUGUUGUUGGAGAAGAAUGGUCGGCAGAGUAACUGUUGUCGGCGUGACGGUAUCCAACCAGAAAGCCACGGCUAACUACGUGCCAGCAGCCGCGGUAAUACGUAGGUGGCAAGCGUUAUCCGGAUUUAUUGGGCGUAAAGCGAGCGCAGGCGGUUUUUUAAGUCUGAUGUGAAAGCCCUCGGCUUAACCGAGGAAGCGCAUCGGAAACUGGGAAACUUGAGUGCAGAAGAGGACAGUGGAACUCCAUGUGUAGCGGUGAAAUGCGUAGAUAUAUGGAAGAACACCAGUGGCGAAGGCGGCUGUCUGGUCUGUAACUGACGCUGAGGCUCGAAAGCAUGGGUAGCGAACAGGAUUAGAUACCCUGGUAGUCCAUGCCGUAAACGAUGAAUGCUAGGUGUUUGGAAGGGUUUCCGCCCUUCAGUGCCGCAGCUAACGCAUUAAGCAUUCCGCCUGGGGAGUACGACCGCAAGGUUGAAACUCAAAGGAAUUGACGGGGGCCCGCACAAGCGGUGGAGCAUGUGGUUUAAUUCGAA
This 937-nucleotide ribosomal RNA is filed under the name uncultured Lacticaseibacillus sp. RNAcentral describes it as "bacterial SSU rRNA". It matches the Rfam family "Bacterial small subunit ribosomal RNA", at positions 56 to 955 of the family's 1533-position model. Lineage: Bacteria; Bacillati; Bacillota; Bacilli; Lactobacillales; Lactobacillaceae. The record is from RNAcentral.